RNAcentral lists this ribosomal RNA (465 nucleotides) under Vreelandella stevensii. RNAcentral describes it as "partial 16S ribosomal RNA". It matches the Rfam family "Bacterial small subunit ribosomal RNA", at positions 338 to 795 of the family's 1533-position model. Lineage: Bacteria; Pseudomonadati; Pseudomonadota; Gammaproteobacteria; Oceanospirillales; Halomonadaceae. The record is from RNAcentral.
CCUACGGGUGGCUGCAGUGGGGAAUAUUGGACAAUGGGGGGAACCCUGAUCCGGCCAUGCCGCGUGUGUGAAGAAGGCCCUCGGGUUGUAAAGCACUUUCAGUGAGGAAGAACGCCUGGUGGUUAAUACCCAUCAGGAAAGACAUCACUCACAGAAGAAGCACCGGCUAACUCCGUGCCAGCAGCCGCGGUAAUACGGAGGGUGCGAGCGUUAAUCGGAAUUACUGGGCGUAAAGCGCGCGUAGGUGGCUUGAUAAGCCGGUUGUGAAAGCCCCGGGCUCAACCUGGGAACGGCAUCCGGAACUGUCAAGCUAGAGUGCAGGAGAGGAAGGUAGAAUUCCCGGUGUAGCGGUGAAAUGCGUAGAGAUCGGGAGGAAUACCAGUGGCGAAGGCGGCCUUCUGGACUGACACUGACACUGAGGUGCGAAAGCGUGGGUAGCAAACAGGAUUAGAUACCCUAGUAGUC